GGGGCCUAAGCCGAGGACGGAAGUCGUAGGCGAUGGACAGCAGGUGUAGAUUCCUGCACUACCGAUGGAAUGAAGCAGUGACACAGAAGGAUAACUCGAGCAGGGUGAUGGUCAACCCUGUGCAAGCAUUGAGGUUGGGUUGUAGUGAAGUACGCAAUCCUAUAAGCUGAGAUGUGAUGCGGACCGAAAUUUCAGUAGGGAAGCGAGUGAGUUCACGCUGGCGAGAUAAGCUGCUAGUACAUCCAAAGGUACCCGUACCGGAAACCGACGCAGGUGGGCGAGGAGAGAAUCCUGAGACGAACGGGAGAACCCUUGUUAAGGAACUCGGCAAAAUGACCCCGUAACUUCGGGAUAAGGGGUGCCUGCGAGAGCAGGCCGCAGAGAAUAGUCACAAGCGACUGUUUAGCAAAAACACAGGUAUCUGCGAAAGCAAGAGCUGACGUAUAGGUGCUGACACCUGCCCGGUGCUGGAAGGUUAGGGAACAUGUUAGAGCAAUCGAAGCAUCGAACCGAAGCCCCAGUAAACGGCGGCCGUAACCAUAACGGUCCUAAGGUAGCGAAAUUCCUUGUCGGGUAAGUUCCGACCCGCACGAAUGGUGUAACGACUUGUGAGCUGUCUCAACAGGGGGCCCGGUGAAAUUGAAGUAUGGGUGAAGAUGCCCAUUACCCGCGACUGGACGGAAAGACCCCGUAGAGCUUUACUGCAGCCUGAUAUUGAGUUUCGGUAACUGAUGCACAGGAUAGGUGGGAGUCUGAGAGACAUGGGUUUCGGCUCAUGUGGAGACGGUGUUGGGAUACCACUCUUCGGUUACUGAAAUUCUAACAUAGCUCUGUGAAACCAGAGGAUGGACAGUGUCAGGUGGACAGUUUGACUGGGGCGGUCGCCUCCGAAAGAGUAACGGAGGCGCCCAAAGGUACCCUCAGAAUGGAUGGAAACCAUUCGAAGAGCGCAAAGGCAGAAGGGUGCCUGACUGCGAGAUUGACAAAUCGAGCAGAGACGAAAGUCGGGCUUAGUGAUCCGGCGGUAUUGAGUGAAAAGCCGUCGCUUAACGGAUAAAAGCUACCUCGGGGAUAACAGGCUGAUCUCCCCCAAGAGUCCACAUCGACGGGGAGGUUUGGCACCUCGAUGUCGGCUCGUCGCAUCCUGGGGCUGAAGCAGGUCCCAAGGGUUUGGCUGUUCGCCAAUUAAAGCGGCACGCGAGCUGGGUUCAGAACGUCGUGAGACAGUUCGGUCCCUAUCCAUCGUGGGCGUAGGAGUCAUGAGAGGAGCUGUUCCUAGUACGAGAGGACCGGAAUGGACGCACCACUGGUGCAACUGUCGUCGUGCCAACGGCAUAGCAGGGAAGCGAAGUGCGGAUGGGAUAAACGCUGAAGGCAUCUAAGCGUGAAGCCCACCUCAAGAAUAAGACUCCACAAUAGACCCCUGGAGGACUACCAGGUAGAUAGGUCAUCGGUGGAAGCGCUGUAAGGCGUGUAGCUUGAUGAUACUAAUCGGUCGAAAGCUUCU
Molecule: ribosomal RNA, 1507 nt
Filed under: metagenome
Description: bacterial LSU rRNA
Rfam family: Bacterial large subunit ribosomal RNA
Source: RNAcentral